GUCGGAAAAUGAUAAUUGAAUCAAAAUGUCAGGGAAACUGCUGUUUUUUCCUAAAACCUGGAAAAAUCAGGGAAAAUUUUUUUCUGGAAUUAUAUGCUUAAACGCAGCUUGCAACAAUUGAUCAAUUUUAGCGCCAAAAAUGACAAUAUCGCGGCGUUUUGUCGCUUCGUGAAAGAAAUUAUUGUGCGAAACUCCUUGCGUGCGUUAGGUGCUUUCGUCAAGUCGUACAAAAUCUGCAAGAGUGGUGACUUAGCAUUUACGCAAUCAGGUGAUUUUUUGGUAAAAAUGCAUGUAGAUGCUUGCUAGUGCUGUGAAGACUUCUGACUACUUUAAAUAAUUUGGUUCAAAUAAUAACUAACUAGUAAGAUUAUUUUUCUGCAAUUAUGC
This 387-nucleotide long non-coding RNA is filed under the name Androctonus crassicauda. The record is from RNAcentral. Lineage: Eukaryota; Metazoa; Arthropoda; Arachnida; Scorpiones; Buthidae.